GUGCUGGUCACUCCUGCAUCCAGUUGUAACCUGUCUCGUCAUUUCUCAUCACUGCCACAUCCUGGCUCUUUCUCACAAGCAGGGGAGGCUGCUCUCCUGACUGGAACCUCAUGAGAAACGACUAUAACUGGUGACUGCGGAGAACUGGUCGACGUUACUGCUUUCCUGGGAAAGUCCCUAAAACACUUCUGUGUGACUCUUCACUGAAGGGUGUGCAGACCAUCCUCCAUCCAGGACAGGAGACCAAGGACAGGGCGAACUUUCCUGGAGUCUGUCUCUUCUAAGCCGUCCACUUGGAGGCUGGUAAUUGCUUGUCGGUCGGUUGGCUAAGUGCAGUGAUCUUCACUACUCCCCUCGAGUUCUGGGGGCCACGGAGCUCUGCUUCCCUCCUGGGGACACAGGAGGGCUUUCCAGGGUUUCACACCCACCCUCCCUGCACCCCACAAGGUAA
Molossus molossus (Pallas's mastiff bat) is the source of this 451-nucleotide long non-coding RNA. RefSeq lists it as uncharacterized. The transcript has 3 exons. The record is from RefSeq and is a predicted model, not a curated record. NCBI's taxonomy places the organism in Eukaryota, Metazoa, Chordata, Mammalia, Chiroptera, Molossidae.